This 497-nucleotide ribosomal RNA is filed under the name uncultured bacterium. RNAcentral describes it as "partial 16S ribosomal RNA". It matches the Rfam family "Bacterial small subunit ribosomal RNA", at positions 28 to 507 of the family's 1533-position model. The record is from RNAcentral.
GAUGAACGCUGGCGGCGUGCCUAAUACAUGCAAGUCGAGCGAACAGAUCAGGAGCUUGUUCCUUUGACGUUAGCCGCGGACGGGUGAGUAACACGUGGGUAACCUACCUAUAAGACUGGUAUAACUCCGGGAAACCGGGGCUAAUGCCGGAUAACAUUUAGAACCGCAUGGUUCUAAAGUGAAAGUUGGUUUUGCUAUCACUUAUAGAUGGACCCGCGCCGUAUUAGCUAGUUGGUAAGGCAACGGCUUACCAAGGCAACGAUACGUAGCCGACCUGAGAGGAUGAUCGGCCACACUGGAACGGAGACACGGUCCAGACUCCUACGGGAGGCAGCAGAAGAGAAUCUUCCGCAAUAGGCGGAAGCCUGACAGAACAACGCAGCGUGAGUGAUGAAGGUCUUCGGAUCGUAAAGCUGUGUUAUUAGGGAAGAACAAAUGUGGAAGGAACUGUGCACGGCUUGACGGUACCGAAUCAGAAAGCCACGGCUAACUACGUG